CUUCACCAGCAUCAUUCUCACCUUCUCAUCAUUCCCUCCUCUCCACUUCUACAUCCUCACCAUCACAAAGAAACUUGAUUCUAGAUUCCUCUCCUCGACCCAAACCGUAACCACCUCCACCAUUUUCCACUCCUCUCCUUUUGAUCACACCCGUAACAACCCCAACAAACAUCCCCAAUCUUACACCUCACGUCCAGUAACAUCCAUUAUCCACCUCACCCUCUCCUCUAAUUUCUCCAUUCACGCAGCAAAAAUCAAUUUCAUUCACUCAACUCAUUCACUCAUACACUCACAGCUUCUACCAAUAUCCAUUCUAUCAUAGUCAUCUUCAUCAAAUAAUCUUCAGUCCCAAUCCUCCUUCUUGGCUGUUUUCGCUGCAUUAAAACCCAGACAGAGAACAAAAAAAAACAGAGAAACUCACACCAUCACCUUCAACCUACACUGUACAAAGCCACAAGAAAAAAGCAACCCCCAAUAAUAUAGAACCAAUUCCCAACACACAAUCACGGAACCAACAACCAAGAACAAAGAGUCUGCAAAUUUUUUCCAGCCCCAUUCAUGGUUCUAGCCUUUCCCAUCAUUACCGAACCACACUCAUUGCACCCCAAAUCUGAAAUCAAAGAAAUAGUAAAAAAAAAAAGGGGGAGGUUCGCGUGGUGAUUGUUGCGGCUGCGACGACUAGAGUUUGUGUUGAAUUCCGGGGUGUGGUGGUUACUCAGUGGUUGGCCGACGAAGGUUUAUUGUUCCCAUGACGGCGGCUCGCGAUGGCAUUGGUGGUGCGAUGGUUGUCGAAGGGGAGCGGCGGCACGCNUAGUUAAUGGCGACGCUGUUGAUGUGGUCGCCGNCGACGUUUUCCUGUGACGGUGGCUCGCAGUUGCAGAUGGAGGCAUGGAGGCGCAUCGAACAGAGAAGGGGAACUGGCGAGGUCGCCGCAGCCUGCGGUGGCUGACCGGGUGGUAGCAAUGGUCGCCGGCGACGCAGCGGACCAAGUUGGUCGAACGACGACUCCGGUGGCCGGCAAUGGCCCCAGUUGCAAGCAGCGGCGUCGGCGAGGAUUUGGGUGGCUUGUGGCAGUCGGUACAGUGGUGGUCGGUUGGGCGAAGUUGCGUUUCUGCUUCCCUCGUUCAGAGAAGAAGACGGCUCUGGGACGUGGUGAUGCUUAUGCAAAUGAGAAGAAAUUGGAGAAACCCCUAUCAGCUAGGGUUAAGUGGCUUUGGGCCUGGGCCGCGAUAUAUCUUCUUGCCACCCCCCAACGCUGUUCACACCCCAUUUCCUAGCUGCAAACAAAAAAUGACCUUGGAUCUGACCA
RNAcentral lists this long non-coding RNA (1309 nucleotides) under Vigna radiata. Its description in RNAcentral is "long non-coding RNA (VRAD_LNC013841)". Lineage: Eukaryota; Viridiplantae; Streptophyta; Magnoliopsida; Fabales; Fabaceae. The record is from RNAcentral.